Long non-coding RNA from Haliotis rubra (blacklip abalone), 833 nucleotides. RefSeq lists it as uncharacterized. The transcript is spliced from 3 exons. The record is from RefSeq and is a predicted model, not a curated record. Lineage: Eukaryota; Metazoa; Mollusca; Gastropoda; Lepetellida; Haliotidae.
ACAGUCGGUGAGGAUAUAGAGGAUCGUGUCAAGUCUGCUUUCACGGCUCUUGGAUUGUCACUAAAGUACUUGGACGGAAGUAUGUUCGGUAUGGCGAGAUGUUUGCUGUUUUCACAAAAUCCAGUAAUCAGACAAGGUGCCAUGAUCCUGUGGAAAGAUGCCAGUGAUGAAACAACUGAAAGUUUAAUGGUGACAGAAGUUCUGAAACAUCUACAGCCAAUCAGCACCAACCACUUGCACAAACAACCAACCAACCAUUCCACAAGCAGUGCAAGUUGGAAAGUAGCUUCUACUCGAAUUGGUUCAGACAAAAUCAUGCUCCACAUCAAUUUACCUUCAGAGGAAGUCCUUGUGAAACAUAACAGGAGUCCAUUCAAGUCAUCAGAUAGUGGCCACCUCACUUCUGUCGAAGCUCUGAGAGAUCUGUCUACACACCCGCAUAUUUUGUCUAUGUAGGCAUAUCGAAUCGACCAGUUCCCUGUGUUCUACAUCACUGAGGAUUACAGUCAACAGAACUUCCAAAAGGUGCUUUAUUAUAGUGCAAAGAGCAAGGCCUGGUUUCAACCUCUUGAGCUCAUGCAGUUUCUUAUACAAGCUCUGGAAGCAGUUAUCGCCCUUCAUGAACAUGGCGUUAUACAAAGAGAUCUUACAGCUGCCAGUUUUGCAUACAACAAGGAAAGCAAGACUGUCAAGCUGUGCCGCUUCAUGUUGGCGCGAAAAUGUAGGCGAGAAGAAACUGUUGUUGACAGAGAAUGUUCGUCCAUUCCCAUGAGAUGGUCUGCCCCAGAGUCUCUCAAGCAACACCAUUUCUCUAUGCGGUCUGAUUACUGGAU